This is a long non-coding RNA of Mauremys reevesii (Reeves's turtle), 742 nucleotides long. RefSeq lists it as uncharacterized. The transcript has 3 exons. The record is from RefSeq and is a predicted model, not a curated record. Lineage: Eukaryota; Metazoa; Chordata; Testudines; Geoemydidae.
AGGAUGCAUGUUGCCAGCUCCAGUCUGUGAGCUGCUGAGAUCCAGGCUGAUACCUGGCUACCUGAGGACACCUGAGAGAGAGUGGAGCUGCAGAGAGCUGCAUAGGCUGAGGGACCUGGAGACACCCAGACUGCCAUGUCAGGAAACAGACUUGCUGAAUGGGCUGUGGGCUGAGAGAUAUUGGACCUAGAGGACACAGCUGAGGAAGACCCGAUUCAUUAAGCUCAAGAGGAUUUGAGAUUUUCAGGACCCAUUUCCCCAGGGAUGGAGACAUAUGGACUUUUCCAUAGUGCAAGGUGGAGGAAUUUGGGGAUUGUUGAUUUCUGUCCCAGGAUUUUCAUUGUGGAUCCAAUAAUGAUGCUUGACAUCCAAUAUUCAUAGAUGUUUUUAAGGCCAGAAGGGCCUUAAACUCUGACCAUCCAGUCCAGCCUCCUGCAUAAGUAGGCCAGAGAAUCCAGCCAGGGAUUCCUGCAUCCAGACCAACAACUCAUCAUUCAAAAACUUAAAAAUAUGACAUAAGAGCAUUAGCUGGGCAAUGGCCUCUGUAGCCUGUGGCUUAGAGCAUGCUUUUUAAACUCUGCCCCGUUCAAACUAGCUGGCAAAGCCAUAUUAUAACUAAAAAUGGUUAAAAACAAAACAAAUAAACAAACAAAAAACCCACUUCCUCGGUUUUGUUUCACAAUGCUUUAUCAUAUUCUGUGAACUAUUUUAAACGUUUAUCUGGUUUUCAAAAGUUUUCAAU